This 253-nucleotide ribosomal RNA is filed under the name uncultured bacterium. Its description in RNAcentral is "partial 16S ribosomal RNA". It matches the Rfam family "Bacterial small subunit ribosomal RNA", at positions 524 to 776 of the family's 1533-position model. The record is from RNAcentral.
UACGUAGGGUCCGAGCGUUGUCCGGAAUUACUGGGCGUAAAGAGCUCGUAGGUGGUUUGUCGCGUUGUUCGUGAAAACUCACAGCUCAACUGUGGGCGUGCGGGCGAUACGGGCAGACUUGAGUACUGCAGGGGAGACUGGAAUUCCUGGUGUAGCGGUGGAAUGCGCAGAUAUCAGGAGGAACACCAGUGGCGAAGGCGACUACCUGGCCUGUUCUUGACGCUGAGGCGCGAAAGCUAGGGGAGCAAACGGG